RNAcentral lists this ribosomal RNA (254 nucleotides) under uncultured bacterium. RNAcentral describes it as "partial 16S ribosomal RNA". It matches the Rfam family "Bacterial small subunit ribosomal RNA", at positions 524 to 776 of the family's 1533-position model. The record is from RNAcentral.
GACGGAAGGUGCAAGCGUUGCUCGGAAUCACUGGGCGUAAAGGGCGUGUAGGCGGUCAAGUAAGUGGAAUGUGAAAUCCCUCGGCUUACCCGAGGACCGGCAUCCCAUACUGCUUGGCUUGAGUUCGGGAGAGGAUGUGGGAAUUCCUGGUGUAGCGGUGAAAUGCGUAGAUAUCAGGAGGAACACCGGUGGCGAAGGCGCACAUCUGGCCCGAUACUGACGCUGACAGCGCGAAAGCUAGGGGAGCAAACGGG